This 468-nucleotide ribosomal RNA is filed under the name uncultured bacterium. RNAcentral describes it as "partial 16S ribosomal RNA". It matches the Rfam family "Bacterial small subunit ribosomal RNA", at positions 28 to 507 of the family's 1533-position model. The record is from RNAcentral.
GACGAACGCUGGCGGCGUGCUUAACACAUGCAAGUCGAACGGAAAGGCCCUGCUUUUGUGGGGUGCUCGAGUGGCGAACGGGUGAGUAACACGUGAGUAACCUGCCCUUGACUUUGGGAUAACUUCAGGAAACUGGGGCUAAUACCGGAUAGGAUCUCCUGCUGCAUGGUGGGGGUUGGAAAGUUUCGGCGGUUGGGGAUGGACUCGCGGCUUAUCAGCUUGUUGGUGGGGUAGUGGCUUACCAAGGCUUUGACGGGUAGCCGGCCUGAGAGGGUGACCGGACAAAUUGGGACUGAGAUACGGCCCAGACUCCAACGGGAGGCAGCAGUGGGGAAUAGUGCACAAUGGGCGGAAGCCUGAUGCAGCAACGCCGCGUGCGGGAUGACGGCCUUCGGGUUGUAAACCGCUUUCGCCUGUGACGAAGCGUGAGUGACGGUAAUGGGUAAAGAAGCACCGGCUAACUACGUG